This 1570-nucleotide ribosomal RNA is filed under the name Triticum aestivum (bread wheat). Its description in RNAcentral is "partial small subunit ribosomal RNA". The record is from RNAcentral. Lineage: Eukaryota; Viridiplantae; Streptophyta; Magnoliopsida; Poales; Poaceae.
GGUCGCGGCACUGCGGCGGCUUUGGGGAAGCGGCCGCAGGGCCUUUCGCCGGAGACGAGGAGGGGGACGGCUUCGUGCCGGUGAGAUGGCGCGGCCACAGGAGCAGCAGAGAUGGGAGGUGGCCUGAGCGCACCCCAAUUCUGCGUAGGUCCGCGGGUACGUCAGGCGGCGGCGAGGCUGCUCCCGUCCCUCGGCGGAGACGUGCGCGACGCCGCUCGCCUUCCGGCGCGAGUUCGCCGGGUUUUGGGAUCUUGUCUAUACAUCCCUUACGAAGAUAUAACAGAAGCUCCUGCUCUAAGUAGUUUGAUAACAACUGUUAUUAAACAAAUUUCGGCCACUUGCACACCGUUAACCUCGAAGACCACCUUUUCUAAGUUGGCACGAACGCAUACACAAUAGUCUCAAUUUGUUUGCAGUAUUUAUACCAGAGCUAAACAAGGAAAAUAGAUAACUGCUUCCUUAGUGUCCGAUAUCUCUGCUGAGGGAUCUUUGACAAUUUUCCUUACUUGAUGUCAUACCGGAUGGUGACUUUUAUCAAAGGAUAUUCCUAGAGAUACUGACCUGUUACCUACUAUAACACUUUCGUUAACCGGACUUUUUGUUAACAUGAAAGACACCACAAAAAGCUGCAGUCCGCGAUCUGGCACCACGACGAGAGAACUUCCAACUAUUCUAACAUUGACCCGUAUUACGUCUACUGUAACGUCUCUGACAGAACGACUUAUAAAAUGCACCACUAUAACGUUCCAAUUCAGCUACGUGAAAGUAUUGAUGACCACUUCUACCUGGUUAGGGUUCUACGUUCGGAAAGUUUAUGUGGAUGCUUUUUCUCUAACAAUACAUACGCAUAAAGUUUUUCGACCUGAUGAAGAGGUGACUUACGUAGAUAAGUGGUUUACGUAUAGCACCUAAACGAGCACUUAAAUAAUUUCUAGACCUUUCCUACUCCGGAUCCCGAUAUGACCUGUAGUAUUGGAGACCGCUUUUAAAGGCCUAUAGGUGUUGUUGUUCUUACGGUCUCGUUCCUUGUACACUUGCGACGCCAAUGUAAAGAUCGGUCUUUAAUACGUUUCGCACACAGGACGAUCUACCUGACUUGGCUCCGAACGGUUUUGAUCCGUAUCCCUCUUGGCGAUUUCAGCCACGACCUCGACUACCAUCACCGCUCGUCGUUCCGUUUGCUCGCCUCUCCUCCUUAUCCAGCUCAGAUGUUCCUUUUGUACCGUUGAACCUGAAGACUUACAGUCAGACGACCUGAUACUAUUUUCAAAAUAGCUAGUUGUCAACUUAACCUGAUCGACUUGAACGAUCGACAACAGCAGACAUACACAUAAACGUACAUGUUCUCUACGAACAAUACCGUACACAUUUCACAGUCACAAUGUUACCACGGAACCUCUCGGGUGAGGUUGAACGUCGGACUUACCGGUAGCUCCUAUUGAUCACUUAAGUGAUACUACAAGGAACCCUGCUAGAAACCCACGUACUGGCGUUGGGCUCCUGUAACGCAGGGAUUAAAAGUUCCGGAGCAGCGCCUUUUUAACUUCACAAUUUUCUACGAGACAAGCGG